AGGACGCUCCUUCGGGAAGCGAGCGUACACAGGUGCUGCAUGGCUGUCGUCAGCUCGUGUCGUGAGAUGUUGGGUUAAGUCCCGCAACGAGCGCAACCCUGCAUUCAGUUGCCAUCGGGUAAUGCCGGGCACUCUGGAAGGACUGCCAUCGACAAGAUGGAGGAAGGUGGGGAUGACGUCAAGUCCUCAUGGCCUUUAUGACCAGGGCUACACACGUACUACAAUGGCCGAUACAAAGGGCAGCGACACUGCGAGGUGAAGCCAACCCCGUAAAAUCGGUCUCAGUCCGGAUUGGAGUCUGCAACUCGACUCCAUGAAGUUGGAAUCGCUAGUAAUCGUGGAUCAGCAUGCCACGGUGAAUACGUUCCCGGGCCUU
RNAcentral lists this ribosomal RNA (376 nucleotides) under uncultured Desulfobulbus sp. RNAcentral describes it as "bacterial SSU rRNA". It matches the Rfam family "Bacterial small subunit ribosomal RNA", at positions 1011 to 1382 of the family's 1533-position model. Lineage: Bacteria; Pseudomonadati; Thermodesulfobacteriota; Desulfobulbia; Desulfobulbales; Desulfobulbaceae. The record is from RNAcentral.